This 463-nucleotide ribosomal RNA is filed under the name uncultured bacterium. Its description in RNAcentral is "partial 16S ribosomal RNA". It matches the Rfam family "Bacterial small subunit ribosomal RNA", at positions 28 to 507 of the family's 1533-position model. The record is from RNAcentral.
GAUGAACGCUGACAGAAUGCUUAACACAUGCAAGUCUUUGGCGAAUCUGUGCUUGCACAGGCUAGCCAAGGCGGACGGGUGAGUAACGCGUAAAGAACUUGCCCUGCAGACAGGGAUAACAGACGGAAACGACUGAUAACACCUGAUACAGUUGCCGGCACGCAUGUGCCUGGCAAUGAAAAGAGAUGCUGCAGGAGAGCUUUGCGUCCUAUUAGCUUGUUGGUGAGGUGACGGCUCACCAAGGCGAUGAUAGGUAGCCGGCCUGAGAGGGUGAACGGCCACAAGGAGACUGAGAUACGGCACUUACUCCUACGAGAGGCAGCAGUGGGGAAUAUUGGACAAUGGGGGCAACCCUGAUCCAGCAAUUCUGUGUGCACGAAGAAGGUUUUCGGAGUGUAAAGUGCUUUCAGCAGGGAAGAAGAAAGUGACGGUACCUGCAGAAGAAGCGACGGCUAAAUACGUG